UGCUUGCAAGAAUAAGCAGUCUGGCCUGCCCACUGAUGUUUAAAGGGCCGCGGUAUUUGAACCGUGCUAAGGUAGCAUAAUCAAUAGUCUCUUAAUUGGGGUCUAGUAUGAAUGGUCGGACAGGAAGUCAUCUGUCUCUUGUAUACAAAUUGAAUUUUACUUUUAAGUGAAAAGGCUUAGAUUUUGUGAAGGGACGAUAAGACCCUAUAAAGCUUUAUAUGUUAAUUUUAGGAUUUAAUAAUAUUAAGGUGUUUCGUUCUUGGUGAUUAACGUAUUUCGUUGGGGCGACGGGAAUAUAAAUGUAACUGUUCUUUUUAAAGAAAUAAAUAUAUUUAGAAAAUUUGAUCCUUUUUAAAGAUUAAAAGAUUAAAGUUACUUUAGGGAUAACAGCGUGAUUUUUCUUGAGAGUUCAUAUCGACAGAACUAGUUGCGACCUCGAUGUUGAAUUAAGGUGUUAUCAAGGUGCAGCAGCUUUGAUAGUGAGUUUGUUCAACUUUUAAAA
This 502-nucleotide ribosomal RNA is filed under the name Jonga serrei. Its description in RNAcentral is "partial 16S ribosomal RNA". It matches the Rfam family "Bacterial large subunit ribosomal RNA", at positions 1834 to 2593 of the family's 2925-position model. Lineage: Eukaryota; Metazoa; Arthropoda; Malacostraca; Decapoda; Atyidae. The record is from RNAcentral.